RNAcentral lists this ribosomal RNA (515 nucleotides) under Saccharomyces cerevisiae (brewer's yeast). Its description in RNAcentral is "partial large subunit ribosomal RNA". It matches the Rfam family "Eukaryotic large subunit ribosomal RNA", at positions 49 to 566 of the family's 3401-position model. Lineage: Eukaryota; Fungi; Ascomycota; Saccharomycetes; Saccharomycetales; Saccharomycetaceae. The record is from RNAcentral.
AGCGGAGGAAAAGAAACCAACCGGGAUUGCCUUAGUAACGGCGAGUGAAGCGGCAAAAGCUCAAAUUUGAAAUCUGGUACCUUCGGUGCCCGAGUUGUAAUUUGGAGAGGGCAACUUUGGGGCCGUUCCUUGUCUAUGUUCCUUGGAACAGGACGUCAUAGAGGGUGAGAAUCCCGUGUGGCGAGGAGUGCGGUUCUUUGUAAAGUGCCUUCGAAGAGUCGAGUUGUUUGGGAAUGCAGCUCUAAGUGGGUGGUAAAUUCCAUCUAAAGCUAAAUAUUGGCGAGAGACCGAUAGCGAACAAGUACAGUGAUGGAAAGAUGAAAAGAACUUUGAAAAGAGAGUGAAAAAGUACGUGAAAUUGUUGAAAGGGAAGGGCAUUUGAUCAGACAUGGUGUUUUGUGCCCUCUGCUCCUUGUGGGUAGGGGAAUCUCGCAUUUCACUGGGCCAGCAUCAGUUUUGGUGGCAGGAUAAAUCCAUAGGAAUGUAGCUUGCCUCGGUAAGUAUUAUAGCCUGUG